RNAcentral lists this ribosomal RNA (154 nucleotides) under Inonotus hispidus. RNAcentral's name for it is "5.8S ribosomal RNA". The stretch from base 18 to 154 matches the Rfam family "5.8S ribosomal RNA", at positions 1 to 137 of the family's 154-position model. From Rfam's summary of the family: 5.8S ribosomal RNA (5.8S rRNA) is a component of the large subunit of the eukaryotic ribosome. It is transcribed by RNA polymerase I as part of the 45S precursor that also contains 18S and 28S rRNA. Lineage: Eukaryota; Fungi; Basidiomycota; Agaricomycetes; Hymenochaetales; Hymenochaetaceae. The record is from RNAcentral.
UGGGCGAUAAUUUGUACAACUUUCAACAACGGAUCUCUAGGCUCUCGCAUCGAUGAAGAACGCAGCGAAAUGCGAUAAGUAAUGUGAAUUGCAGAAUUCAGUGAAUCAUCGAAUCUUUGAACGCACCUUGCGCCCCUUGGUAUUCCGAGGGGCA